RNAcentral lists this ribosomal RNA (787 nucleotides) under Triticum aestivum (bread wheat). RNAcentral describes it as "partial small subunit ribosomal RNA". The record is from RNAcentral. Lineage: Eukaryota; Viridiplantae; Streptophyta; Magnoliopsida; Poales; Poaceae.
CUCUUCGGGUGGCUACCUAGAGAGAAUAGGGAAGGAGAAGGACCGUCGUCUUCUCUGCUACGGUGGGUGCGUGGUAGCUACGGGACGUCGGCUGACGAAGCCGCAAGAAGGUGCGCUCGCUCGUCUCCGUGGGGUACCGCGGAGGAGGAGAGGAAGAGAACCGCGCGCUUCUGGAGCUGCCUCGGUGGAGGUAGCGCAGUAGCUAGACCGGCGGCGGAGUGGACGCCGAGCUAGAAUAGACCCUCUCUACCACUCCCCACCCCCACCGCCUCAUUCCCCUCGGCCUCUCCUUCUAGGCCACGUCCUGAGGGUGCGACGUCUGAACUCCGUGGGUUGGUGCCGGUGCAGCUGCUGAGACGGAGGACUUCCUGCUGUAGGUGGUGGAGGGAGGGACGGCGGGUCUUCACUGCUCCAACGGCGGAGAGCCGUUGAAAGACACGAGAGCGUCUUUAAGGGGAAGUCUAUCACCUCGCGGCAGCGAGGGUAUCAGAAGUCGUAGUCCCGAGGACUAAGGUACCGCACGGAAUCAGAAAACCGCCCGUAUAAAUUUCAACUCCCUAGAAAAUAAGGUAAAGUUAAAAGAAACCUUUAGAAGACGGCCGAGUUCACGAGUACAGUUCCUUAUAUCGACAUAAAAAGAACCUAAAAAGUAAACGGAACGUUACGAUUACCUCUUUUCCGUUGUUUUUGAUAAGCUCCCUCUCUAACAAUUGCUUAUCUAGUUGUUUGAUAAACAGUACCUUUAACGAUAAACCUCUGGACCACGUAAAACUUUCAUACAUUGCUG